CACCCCGUCGUGGCCAUGGUUGAUGGGAACCCUCUGGCCUUAGAGCUAGCUGCAUCCUGCUGUUUGUUUUCCUCCCUUGCUCAGAAAAGAGAGAGACAUGGGCGAAAGGGGUGGGGGUCAGAUUGGUCCUCUGACCACAGCACUUCAGGCUGCACACGCGUCCUUCUCCGCCGCCCAGUGCCAAAAUCCUGCUACGGAAAAGGAGAAGAGAAAGGGCAGGUACACUCGGGAAGGCAGGAAUUGGACUCAGGCAGGCAGUUUUCCUACCAGCCUGCUGUGUUGUGUAACAAUGAGAGACAAUUUUUCGCAAGUGGAUCCAAGCUCUCAGUCUUGGAGGACCUGAGAAAGGUGAAGCCUCCCAAGGUCACGGUGUUUGAGCCAUCAAAAGCAGAGAUCUCCCGGACCCGGAAGGCCACGCUCGUGUGCCUGGCCACAGGCUUCUACCCCGACCACGUGGAGCUGAGCUGGUGGGUGAACGGGAAGGAGGUACACGACGGGGUGAGCACGGACCCUGAGCCCUACAAGGAACAGCCCGACGCGAACAGCUCCAACUACUGCCUGAGCAGCCGGCUGAGGGUCUCGGCCACCUUCUGGCACAACCCUCGCAACCACUUUCGCUGCCAAGUCCAGUUCCACGGGCUGGGGAAGGAAGACCAGUGGAACUACUCCGAGGCCAAACCCGUCACCCAGAACGUCAGUGCCGACACCUGGGGCAAAGCAGACUGCGGCUUCACUUCGGUGUCCUAUCAGCAGGGGGUCGUGUCGGCCACCCUGGUCUAUGAGAUCCUGCUGGGGAAGGCCAGCCUGUACGCCAUGCUGGUCAGCGUCCUUGUGCUGAUGGCCAAGGUCAAGAGAAAGGAUUCCUGAAGGCAGCUCAGAGGCGGAGCCGGGGGUUCCCAGCAGGCCCUGGCCCCCCUUUCCCCACUUCUAGCCCUUGCUUCUGAAGACCUGUUUUCAUCCCUCUGCUCCCCCCCCCACAGCAGCUGCCCCCUCUGUGCACGCACACGCGGACGCUCACGGCUCACCUCGCCCUAACCCAGGGGGGCCCUCGCGUGACGAAAUGGACUGAAUCAAUAAAAAUGGCCUGUUCUGGCUUGACUCUGC
Molecule: non-coding RNA, 1104 nt
Organism: Hyaena hyaena (striped hyena)
Lineage: Eukaryota; Metazoa; Chordata; Mammalia; Carnivora; Hyaenidae
Source: the annotation of a RefSeq genome assembly